CUGGCGGCGUGCCUAAUACAUGCAAGUCGAACGGUCUUUCUAUGGAAGCUUGCUUCCACUGAGAAGAUAGUGGCGAACGGGUGAGUAACACGUGGGUAACCUGCCCAUAAGAGGGGGAUAACAUCCGGAAACGGGCGCUAAUACCGCAUAGUUUUCUUGAUUGCAUGAUUGAGAAGGAAAGACGGCCUUUGUGCUGUCGCUUAUGGAUGGACCCGCGGCGUAUUAGUUAGUUGGUGAGGUAACGGCUCACCAAGACGAUGAUACGUAGCCGACCUGAGAGGGUGAUCGGCCACAUUGGGACUGAGACACGGCCCAAACUCCUACGGGAGGCAGCAGUAGGGAAUCUUCCGCAAUGGACGAAAGUCUGACGGAGCAACGCCGCGUGAGUGAAGAAAGGUUUUCGGAUCGUAAAACUCUGUUGUCAGAGAAGAACAAGUUGGAGAGUAACUGCUCCAGCCUUGACGGUAUCUGACCAGAAAGCCACGGCUAACUACGUGCCAGCCGCUGC
This 508-nucleotide ribosomal RNA is filed under the name uncultured bacterium. RNAcentral's name for it is "bacterial SSU rRNA". It matches the Rfam family "Bacterial small subunit ribosomal RNA", at positions 36 to 518 of the family's 1533-position model. The record is from RNAcentral.